ACGGCUCAGUAACGCGUAGUCAACCUAACCUAUGGACGGGAAUAACCUCGGGAAACUGAGAAUAAUGCCCGAUAGAACACUAUACCUGGAAUGGUUUGUGUUCCAAAUGAUUUAUCGCCGUAGGAUGGGACUGCGGCCUAUCAGUUUGUUGGUGAGGUAAUGGCCCACCAAGACUAUUACAGGUACGGGCUCUGAGAGGAGUAGCCCGGAGAUGGGUACUGAGACACGGACCCAGGCCCUAUGGGGCGCAGCAGGCGAGAAAACUUUGCAAUGUGCGAAAGCACGACAAGGUUAAUCCGAGUGGUUUCUGCUAAACGAACCUUUUGUCGGUCCUAGAAACACCGAUGAAUAAGGGGUGGGCAAGUUCUGGUGUCAGCCGCCGCGGUAAAACCAGCACCUCAAGUGGUCAGGAUGAUUAUUGGGCCUAAAGCAUCCGUAGCCGGCUCUGUAAGUUUUCGGUUAAAUCUGUACGCUCAACGUACAGGCUGCCGGGAAUACUGCAGAGCUAGGGAGUGGGAGAGGUAGACGGUACUCGGUAGGAAGGGGUAAAAUCCUUUGAUCUAUUGAUGACCACCUGUGGCGAAGGCGGUCUACCAGAACACGUCCGACGGUGAGGGAUGAAAGCUGGGGGAGCAAACCGGAUUAGAUACCCGGGUAGUCCCAGCUGUAAACUAUGCAAACUCAGUGAUGCAUUGGCUUGUGGCCAAUGCAGUGCUGCAGGGAAGCCGUUAAGUUUGCCGCCUGGGAAGUACGUACGCAAGUAUGAAACUUAAAGGAAUUGGCGGGGGAGCACCACAAGGGG
Molecule: ribosomal RNA, 802 nt
Filed under: Candidatus Nitrosopumilus sp.
Lineage: Archaea; Thermoproteati; Nitrososphaerota; Nitrososphaeria; Nitrosopumilales; Nitrosopumilaceae
Description: bacterial SSU rRNA
Rfam family: Archaeal small subunit ribosomal RNA
Source: RNAcentral